Molecule: ribosomal RNA, 253 nt
Filed under: uncultured bacterium
Lineage: Bacteria
Description: partial 16S ribosomal RNA
Rfam family: Bacterial small subunit ribosomal RNA
Source: RNAcentral
UACGUAGGUGGCAAGCGUUGUCCGGAUUUACUGGGUGUAAAGGGCGUGCAGCCGGAGAGACAAGUCAGAUGUGUAAUCCACGGGCUCAACCAGUGAACUGCAUUUGAAACUGUUUCCCUUGAGUGUCGGAGAGGUAAUCGGAAUUCCUUGUGUAGCGGUGAAAUGCGUAGAUAUAAGGAAGAACACCAGUGGCGAAGGCGGAUUACUGGACGAUAACUGACGGUGAGGCGCGAAAGCGUGGGGAGCAAACAGG